This 811-nucleotide long non-coding RNA is filed under the name Felis catus (domestic cat). Its description in RNAcentral is "lncRNA (ENSFCAG00000048256.1)". The record is from RNAcentral. Lineage: Eukaryota; Metazoa; Chordata; Mammalia; Carnivora; Felidae.
ACCUAUUGUUACCAUAAUUGCACCACUUCCAAUGUAUGAAAUUUGAACAUUCCACACAGGUUUUGCUUUUUUUUUAAAUAUCAGUAACUAGUUCACUACUAUAUUCAUUAUUCUUUCCUUUUGGGAAAUGCCAAUAUAUUGACUAUAAUAAUAUUUCAUUUAUUCAUCCCAGGAUUGUCAUCUUAUCCUUAAUCAUUUAUUUAUCACAGAUAACCUUUCAUUUGUAUACACUCUCAACUGCUGUGGUUACUAAAUGCUCAUAAAUACCUGGCUUUCCUCUUUGUGAGCACUUCAACUACUGUACUUCCCAAUGGUCUUGGUAUUGGGCUGGCAAAUGAAUUCUUCUGAUCAACAAGCUGUAAACUAAAGCAACAUGUACAAUUUCCCUACUGAAGGAUUUCAUUGCUGGUGCCUCAGGACACAGAACAAGCAAAGGAAAAACUGCAGCCAGGAGAACAUGGUUUACAGAUAGAGCACAUUUGCACAAAGAGCUGUCACGUUAGAAAAAGAGGUAAGCUAUUUCAUGCAUGUCUAAAAAAUAAGGCAACCAGCCAGAAUUUUGUAAAGCAAAGUGGGAGGAAACAAAGAAUCCUAUGGAAGACAACUGAUAAAGAAUCAGUACUCAAUGUACUUUGGGUAGGUGCAAAGGAAAUCACGGCAUUUUUGUUUAUUAGUAAUGAAGGCCUUGAAGCAAGUAUAGUUGAAUAAGAGAAGGGAAAAUGGGAUCUGAGUAAACAGAUCCACAUUGAUUCAUAUUAAGGUGAACCCAUAUCCAGGUUUGAACACCACCACCUACUAUUUUAGAUUUCAG